This 216-nucleotide ribosomal RNA is filed under the name Glomeromycotina sp. RNAcentral's name for it is "partial small subunit ribosomal RNA". The stretch from base 46 to 216 matches the Rfam family "Eukaryotic small subunit ribosomal RNA", at positions 692 to 864 of the family's 1831-position model. The record is from RNAcentral. Lineage: Eukaryota; Fungi; Glomeromycota.
GGGUCAGUAGGUUGGUCGUGCCACCGGUACGUACUGGUCUCACCGAUUCCUCCUUCCUGAAGAACCGUAAUGCCAUUAAUUUGGUGUUGCGGGGAAACAGGACUGUUACUUUGAAAAAAUUAGAGUGUUUAAGGCAAGCUAACGCUUGAAUACAUUAGCAUGGAAUAAUGAAAUAGGACGAUCGAUCCUAUUUUGUUGGUUUCUAGGAUUGACGUA